GACAAUGGGCGAAAGCCUGAUCCAGCCAUGCCGCGUGAGUGAAGAAGGCCUUAGGGUUGUAAAACUCUUUCGACAGGGAAGAUAAUGACGGUACCUGUAUAAGAAGCUCCGGCUAACUCCGUGCCAGCAGCCGCGGUAAUACGGAGGGGGCAAGCGUUGCUCGGAAUUACUGGGCGUAAAGCGAGCGUAGGCGGUUAAUCAAGUUGGUGGUGAAAGCCCGGAGCACAACUCCGGAACUGCCAUCAAAACUGGUUUACUAGAGAUUGGUAGAGGAAAAUGGAAUUCCUAGUGUAGAGGUGAAAUUCGUAGAUAUUGGGAAGAACAUCGGUGGCGAAGGCGAUUUUCUGGGCCAAAUCUGACGCUGAGGUUCGAAAGCGUGGGUAGCAAACAGGAUUAGAUACCCUGGUAGUCCACGCCGU
This 419-nucleotide ribosomal RNA is filed under the name uncultured bacterium. Its description in RNAcentral is "bacterial SSU rRNA". It matches the Rfam family "Bacterial small subunit ribosomal RNA", at positions 367 to 803 of the family's 1533-position model. The record is from RNAcentral.